RNAcentral lists this ribosomal RNA (510 nucleotides) under Triticum aestivum (bread wheat). RNAcentral describes it as "partial small subunit ribosomal RNA". The record is from RNAcentral. Lineage: Eukaryota; Viridiplantae; Streptophyta; Magnoliopsida; Poales; Poaceae.
AUGGCCAACUGUUGGAUUCUUUUUCUCCUUCUCGUGGCCUCAGACAAGGGGAUCCCUUAUCUGUUCUUGUUUGUGGGAGAGACCUUAUCGUUAUUGUUUAAGAAUGUGUGUGAUAAUGGAACCCUUCAGAAUUUUCAUCUCAACAGGCAGGCACCAGGUAUAUCCCAUAUGUUCUUCGCUGACGACUGUCUCCUCUUCUUUAAGGGGACCAUUGAUCAAACUUUGGCGAUUAAAAACAUUCUGAAUAUUUAUGAAGAGGGAACAUGUCAGUUGUUGAGUUCUGACAAGUGCUCCAUUCUGUUUGGGAAGAGUUGUACUCUGGAAAAUCAAGUAUCCACUAUGGUUAUUUUAAAAAUUACGACUGACGGUUUCGAUGACAAAUAUUUGGGCUUACUAGUUCCAGAAGGAAGAAUGAAGGUGGGUAAGUUUCAAUCAACCAAAGACAAAGCUCUAAAAAGGCUUUCUGAUUGGAUUGAAAAAUAUGCUUCUAGUGGGGUGAAGGAAAUCUAG